UACGGAGGAUCCAAGCGUUAUCCGGAAUUACUGGGCGUAAAGAGUUGCGUAGGUGGCAGAGUGUGUCUGUAGUGAAAGCGUUCGGCUCAACCGAAUAAACAUUAUGGAAACUGCUCGGCUAGAGGAUGAGAGAGGUUAUUGGAAUUCCCAGUGUAGGAGUGAAAUCCGUAGAUAUUGGGAGGAACACCGAUGGCGUAGGCAGAUAACUGGCUCAUUCCUGACACUAAGGCACGAAAGCGUGGGGAGCAAACGGG
RNAcentral lists this ribosomal RNA (254 nucleotides) under uncultured bacterium. Its description in RNAcentral is "partial 16S ribosomal RNA". It matches the Rfam family "Bacterial small subunit ribosomal RNA", at positions 524 to 776 of the family's 1533-position model. The record is from RNAcentral.